AACCUGAAACCGUGUACGUACAAGCAGUGGGAGCACCCUUCGGGGUGUGACUGCGUACCUUUUGUAUAAUGGGUCAGCGACUUAUAUUCUGUAGCAAGGUUAACCGAAUAGGGGAGCCGGAGGGAAACCGAGUCUUAAUUGGGCGUUAAGUUGCAGGGUAUAGACCCGAAACCCGGUGAUCUAGCCAUGGGCAGGUUGAAGGUUGGGUAACACUAACUGGAGGACCGAACCGACUAAUGUUGAAAAAUUAGCGGAUGACCUGUGGCUGGGGGUGAAAGGCCAAUCAAACCGGGAGAUAGCUGGUUCUCCCCGAAAGCUAUUUAGGUAGCGCCUCGUGAAUUCAUCUCCGGGGGUAGAGCACUGUUUCGGCUAGGGGGCCAUCCCGGCUUACCAACCCGAUGCAAACUGCGAAUACCGGAGAAUGUUAUCACGGGAGACACACGGCGGGUGCUAACGUCCGUCGUGAAGAGGGAAACAACCCAGACCGCCAGCUAAGGUCCCAAAGUCAUGGUUAAGUGGGAAACGAUGUGGGAAGGCCCAGACAGCCAGGAUGUUGGCUUAGAAGCAGCCAUCAUUUAAAGAAAGCGUAAUAGCUCACUGGUCGAGUCGGCCUGCGCGGAAGAUGUAACGGGGCUAAACCAUGCACCGAAGCUGCGGCAGCGACGCUGAUGCGUUGUUGGGUAGGGGAGCGUUCUGUAAGCCUGUGAAGGUGGCCUGUGAGGGUUGCUGGAGGUAUCAGAAGUGCGAAUGCUGACAUAAGUAACGAUAAAGCGGGUGAAAAGCCCGCUCGCCGGAAGACCAAGGGUUCCUGUCCAACGUUAAUCGGGGCAGGGUGAGUCGACCCCUAAGGCGAGGCCGAAAGGCGUAGUCGAUGGGAAACGGGUUAAUAUUCCCGUACUUGGUGUUACUGCGAAGGGGGGACGGAGAAGGCUAUGUUGGCCGGGCGACGGUUGUCCCGGUUUAAGCGUGUAGGCUGGUUUUCCAGGCAAAUCCGGAAAAUCAAGGCUGAGGCGUGAUGACGAGGCACUACGGUGCUGAAGCAACAAAUGCCCU
RNAcentral lists this ribosomal RNA (1053 nucleotides) under Salmonella enterica subsp. enterica serovar Bovismorbificans. RNAcentral describes it as "partial 23S ribosomal RNA". It matches the Rfam family "Bacterial large subunit ribosomal RNA", at positions 547 to 1603 of the family's 2925-position model. The record is from RNAcentral. Lineage: Bacteria; Pseudomonadati; Pseudomonadota; Gammaproteobacteria; Enterobacterales; Enterobacteriaceae.